Molecule: small nucleolar RNA, 215 nt
Organism: Salarias fasciatus (jewelled blenny)
Lineage: Eukaryota; Metazoa; Chordata; Actinopteri; Blenniiformes; Blenniidae
Gene: U3
Rfam family: Small nucleolar RNA U3
About the family: Small nucleolar RNAs (snoRNAs) are involved in the processing and modification of rRNA in the nucleolus. There are two main classes of snoRNAs: the box C/D class, and the box H/ACA class.
Source: Ensembl
AAGACUAUACUUUCAGGAUCAUUCUAUAGUUCUUGACUUGAGAAAUGUGUUUCUAAAGUGUUUGGUCUCGCUACCCACGAUGAUGAGAUGUGAUAUUCCCUUCUGAGCAUGAAGCGCUCAGGGAGUAAUGAUUCAGUUCAUAUGCUCUCUGUUCUUGAUGACUGUUCUUUGCUCUUCUGACAGAGCAAUGAGGGAGGGGAUAUAAUCAGAGUGGU